GAUGAACGCUGGCGGCGUGCCUAAUACAUGCAAGUCGAGCGAACAGACGAGGAGCUUGCUCCUCUGACGUUAGCGGCGGACGGGCGAGUAACACGUGGAUAACCUACCUAUAAGACUGGGAUAACUUCGGGAAACCGGAGCUAAUACCGGAUAAUAUAUUGAACCGCAUGGUUCAAUAGUUAAAGACGGUUUUGCUGUCACUUAUAGAUGGAUCCGCGCCGCAUUAGCUAGUUGGUAAGGUAACGGCUUACCAAGGCGACGAUGCGUAGCCGACCUGAGAGGGUGAUCGGCCACACUGGAACUGAGACACGGUCCAGACUCCUACGGGAGGCAGCAGUAGGGAAUCUUCCGCAAUGGGCGAAAGCCUGACGGAGCAACGCCGCGUGAGUGAUGAAGGUCUUCGGAUCGUAAAACUCUGUUAUUAGGGAAGAACAAAUGUGUAAGUAACUAUGCACGUCUUGACGGUACCUAAUCAGAAAGCCACGGCUAACUACGUG
This 497-nucleotide ribosomal RNA is filed under the name uncultured bacterium. Its description in RNAcentral is "partial 16S ribosomal RNA". It matches the Rfam family "Bacterial small subunit ribosomal RNA", at positions 28 to 507 of the family's 1533-position model. The record is from RNAcentral.